This 1105-nucleotide long non-coding RNA is filed under the name Ananas comosus (pineapple). RNAcentral's name for it is "long non-coding RNA (ACOM_LNC007537)". Lineage: Eukaryota; Viridiplantae; Streptophyta; Magnoliopsida; Poales; Bromeliaceae. The record is from RNAcentral.
UCUAUCUAUUUUACAUUAAAAUUUAAAUUUAAGUUUAAAUUAUGAAUUAAAUUUAAUUUUUAAUUUUUAAUAUCAAAUCUAUUCAUCUAUUUUACAUUAAAAUUUAAAUUCGAGUUAAAUCGUGAAUUAAAUUUAAUUUUUAAUUUUUGAUAUCAAAAUUGAAUUUAAUUAUAUAAUGUACAAAAAUUAAAUUUUAAAUAAAUGUCAAUUAAAUUUUGAUGCUUUUAGUUUAAAAGACUUAUUUAAAUUUUAGAUUUAUUAAAAAUUAAAAAAUAUAUAAAAAUAUCUAAUGUAUAUAAAAAAGAACAUAUUGCAGAUAUUUUCUAAUAAAAUAUAACAUAUAAAUUUACAAAAUGUUUUUAUUCUAAAUUCUUAAAUCAAUAUGAUUUAAUAUUUUUUAUUAAUUUAAAAUAAAUUAAAAUAAUUAUUACGUGCAUUUGUACGUACACUCAACUAGUAUCUAUUAACAUAUAUAAUUUCUCAAUAAUCUUGUUGAUGUGGCACAACCACAUUACUUUAGAAGUUUUUUUUUUUUUUUUAACUCAGCCCAUGUUCCAUUGUCUUUACUCCCACCCCUCCAUCUUCUCCUUGCAACGUAUACCUUACCUUCCUCCUCUCUUAAGCAUAAACUUCCAUCCCUCCAUCUUCUUCGUAUAAUAAAUCUAUUAAUUUCACAAACUUUUAUUAAUUAAUUAAUAUAUAUGAUUUCUUUCCCUUGGCUUAACUCCUACCCCUGCAUCUUCUCCUUGCAACGUGUAACUUACCUUCCUCCUCUCUUAAGCAUAAACUUCCAUCCCUCCAUCUUCUUCUUGCACCAAAUCUAUUAAUUUCACAAACUUAUUAUUUUAUCAAGUUAGAGCAUAUCAACACAACCAGGGUUAGCAACUUCCUAAUAAAAUAUUUUUAAAGAGUUAAUUUUAUAUUAGAGGACCGGAGGGCGAUAGGAGAUGCGGGGCCGGGGGGGCUGGGCGGCAUCGAGGUUGAGGGCGGUGCUACUGCCGACAAUGACUAUAGCGACAGCGACCGCGUCCUCGGUGGUGGCGGUGCCCGAGGUGGUGAUUUUAUUUAUUUAUUUAUUUACUUAUUUAUUUUGAGCUUUUUAGAA